UGGAAAGUCCGACCACAGAAGGUGAUAGUCCUGUAUACGAAAACUUGAAUCCUGUAUCAGCGUUCCAGAGUAGCACGGAACUCGUGGAACUCCGUGUGAAGCAGGGGGGCCCACCCUCCAAGGCUAAGUACUACUCGACGACCGAUAGUGAAAAGUAGCGUGAGCAAACGAUGAAAAGUACCCCUAUUAGGGGAGUUAAAAGUACCUGAAACCAUACACCUACAAGCUGUAGGAGCCCUAUGACCAGUCUUCGGGCUGGUAACGGGUGACUGCGUGCCUUUCGCAUAAUGAGCCGGCGAGUUACCGUUUGUGGCAAGGUUAACCCCUUAAGGGGGGUAGCCGUAGCGAAAGCGAGUCUUAAUAGGGCGAUUUAGUCGCAGGUGGUAGACGCGAAACCAGGUGAUCUACCCAUGGCCAGGUUGAAGGGGAUGUAAAAGUCCCUGGAGGACCGAACGCACUAACGUUGAAAAGUUAGGCGAUGAGCUGUGGGGAGGAGUAAAAGUCUAAUCAAACCUGGAGAUAUCUCGUUCUCUCCGAAAUAGCUUUAGGGCUAGCCUUGAGGCAACUACUUUACGGGGGUAGAGCUACUGAAUGGGGAUGAGGGGCCACCAGCCUACUUACCCCAACCAAACUCCGAAUACCGUAAAGACUAUCUCAGGAGUCAGACUGUGGGGGAUAACCUCCAUGGUCAAGAGGGAAACAACCCAGACCGCCAGCUAAGGUCCCGAAGUUCUGCUAAGUUCUUAAGGAAGUU
This 754-nucleotide ribosomal RNA is filed under the name marine sediment metagenome. Its description in RNAcentral is "LSU rRNA". It matches the Rfam family "Bacterial large subunit ribosomal RNA", at positions 343 to 1077 of the family's 2925-position model. The record is from RNAcentral.